Long non-coding RNA from Dromaius novaehollandiae (emu), 648 nucleotides. RefSeq lists it as uncharacterized. The record is from RefSeq and is a predicted model, not a curated record. Lineage: Eukaryota; Metazoa; Chordata; Aves; Casuariiformes; Dromaiidae. The transcript has 3 exons.
GACACACGGCGGGUCCGCCCGGGCGGUCUGGCCUGGCAGGUGUCCCGAAAUGUCCCUGGGGAGCGCGGGAGCAGCAGGGUUGUGUGGGGCAGAGCGGUGACUGCCUGCACCUGUCUCCGAAUCUCUCAUCCUGCUAAUGCACCCGCUUGUCGCUGCGGGGUUCGGCCCCGUGCUCAGAGGGGCGAGAGGCUGCUCACGGGGAGGAGCUGCUCGGAGGUGCCCCACGGGCAGCACGCCUGGGCGAGGAACAGCAUUGGCCCGUGGCUCUGCUCACAGAAGAUGAGUUUCCCAGGCCGUGGGGACCCCUCAGAGGUUCCAGCCCACGUCCUUCAGCCGUGCUGUGCCCGAUGCCCUAGAUUGGGAGAUCUGGAUGGCUUUCAAAAACGUGUUUGAGUCAAAUGCCAGUAGCUGACUCUGUGCAAGAGGAAUGGGGUGAAGCUCGGGGGCCGGCGAGUGCUGCCGGAGUUGCUCUCCAUGAAAAAAAGAAAAAAAAGAACUUCCCACUGCUGGACAUCUUUGGUAAAAUAAUGAAUGCUUUGCCUUCAUCUGCAAGCUUGGAGAUGCUGCAAAGCAUUCUUCUGAAGCUGGAAACCCUACGGUGUUACUGAAAAAUUCCCUGGGUUAAAAAAUAAAAUAAAUAUAAAGAUA